UAGGGAAUCUUCCACAAUGGACGCAAGUCUGAUGGAGCAACGCCGCGUGAGUGAAGAAGGUUUUCGGAUCGUAAAGCUCUGUUGUUGGUGAAGAAGGAUAGAGGCAGUAACUGGUCUUUAUUUGACGGUAAUCAACCAGAAAGUCACGGCUAACUACGUGCCAGCAGCCGCAGUAAUACGUAGGUGGCAAGCGUUGUCCGGAUUUAUUGGGCGUAAAGCGAGCGCAGGCGGAAUGAUAAGUCUGAUGUGAAAGCCCACGGCUCAACCGUGGAACUGCAUCGGAAACUGUCAUUCUUGAGUGCAGAAGAGUAGAGUGGAAUUCCAUGUGUAGCGGUGGAAUGCGUAGAUAUAUGGAAGAACACCAGUGGCGAAGGCGGCUCUCUGGUCUGCAACUGACGCUGAGGCUCGAAAGCAUGGGUAGCGAACAGG
Molecule: ribosomal RNA, 429 nt
Filed under: bacterium
Lineage: Bacteria
Description: partial 16S ribosomal RNA
Rfam family: Bacterial small subunit ribosomal RNA
Source: RNAcentral